GCCGGGAUGGCGGAAUUGGUAGACGCACCGGACUCAAAAUCCGGCGGUCGCAAGGCCUUGAGGGUUCGAGUCCCUCUCCCGGUACCA
RNAcentral lists this transfer RNA (87 nucleotides) under Desulfovibrio sp. Its description in RNAcentral is "tRNA-Leu". It matches the Rfam family "tRNA". Rfam says of the family: Transfer RNA (tRNA) molecules are approximately 80 nucleotides in length. Their secondary structure includes four short double-helical elements and three loops (D, anti-codon, and T loops). Further hydrogen bonds mediate the characteristic L-shaped molecular structure. tRNAs have two regions of fundamental functional importance: the anti-codon, which is responsible for specific mRNA codon recognition, and the 3' end, to which the tRNAs corresponding amino acid is attached (by aminoacyl-tRNA synthetases). tRNAs cope with the degeneracy of the genetic code in two manners: having more than one tRNA (with a specific anti-codon) for a particular amino acid; and 'wobble' base-pairing, i.e. permitting non-standard base-pairing at the 3rd anti-codon position. RNAcentral also lists the same sequence under 5 other names. The record is from RNAcentral. Lineage: Bacteria; Pseudomonadati; Thermodesulfobacteriota; Desulfovibrionia; Desulfovibrionales; Desulfovibrionaceae.